RNAcentral lists this ribosomal RNA (2902 nucleotides) under Klebsiella pneumoniae. Its description in RNAcentral is "23S ribosomal RNA". It matches the Rfam family "Bacterial large subunit ribosomal RNA". The record is from RNAcentral. Lineage: Bacteria; Pseudomonadati; Pseudomonadota; Gammaproteobacteria; Enterobacterales; Enterobacteriaceae.
GGUUAAGCGACUAAGCGUACACGGUGGAUGCCCUGGCAGUCAGAGGCGAUGAAGGACGUGCUAAUCUGCGAAAAGCGUCGGUAAGGUGAUAUGAACCGUUAUAACCGGCGAUGUCCGAAUGGGGAAACCCAGUGCAAUUCGUUGCACUAUCGUUAACUGAAUACAUAGGUUAACGAGGCGAACCGGGGGAACUGAAACAUCUAAGUACCCCGAGGAAAAGAAAUCAACCGAGAUUCCCCCAGUAGCGGCGAGCGAACGGGGAGCAGCCCAGAGUCUGAAUCAGCUUGUGUGUUAGUGGAACGGUCUGGAAAGUCCGACGGUACAGGGUGAUAGUCCCGUACACCAAAAUGCACAGGCUGUGAACUCGAAGAGUAGGGCGGGACACGUGGUAUCCUGUCUGAAUAUGGGGGGACCAUCCUCCAAGGCUAAAUACUCCUGACUGACCGAUAGUGAACCAGUACCGUGAGGGAAAGGCGAAAAGAACCCCGGCGAGGGGAGUGAAAAAGAACCUGAAACCGUGUACGUACAAGCAGUGGGAGCACCUUCGGGUGUGACUGCGUACCUUUUGUAUAAUGGGUCAGCGACUUAUAUUCUGUAGCAAGGUUAACCGUAUAGGGGAGCCGCAGGGAAACCGAGUCUUAACUGGGCGUUAAGUUGCAGGGUAUAGACCCGAAACCCGGUGAUCUAGCCAUGGGCAGGUUGAAGGUUGGGUAACACUAACUGGAGGACCGAACCGACUAAUGUUGAAAAAUUAGCGGAUGACUUGUGGCUGGGGGUGAAAGGCCAAUCAAACCGGGAGAUAGCUGGUUCUCCCCGAAAGCUAUUUAGGUAGCGCCUCGUGAAUUCAUCUUCGGGGGUAGAGCACUGUUUCGGCUAGGGGGUCAUCCCGACUUACCAACCCGAUGCAAACUACGAAUACCGAAGAAUGUUAUCACGGGAGACACACGGCGGGUGCUAACGUCCGUCGUGAAGAGGGAAACAACCCAGACCGCCAGCUAAGGUCCCAAAGUCAUGGUUAAGUGGGAAACGAUGUGGGAAGGCACAGACAGCCAGGAUGUUGGCUUAGAAGCAGCCAUCAUUUAAAGAAAGCGUAAUAGCUCACUGGUCGAGUCGGCCUGCGCGGAAGAUGUAACGGGGCUAAACCAUGCACCGAAGCUGCGGCAGCGACACUAUGUGUUGUUGGGUAGGGGAGCGUUCUGUAAGCCUGCGAAGGUGUGCUGUGAGGCAUGCUGGAGGUAUCAGAAGUGCGAAUGCUGACAUAAGUAACGAUAAAGCGGGUGAAAAGCCCGCUCGCCGGAAGACCAAGGGUUCCUGUCCAACGUUAAUCGGGGCAGGGUGAGUCGGCCCCUAAGGCGAGGCCGAAAGGCGUAGUCGAUGGGAAACAGGUUAAUAUUCCUGUACUUGGUGUUACUGCGAAGGGGGGACGGAGAAGGCUAUGUUAGCCGGGCGACGGUUGUCCCGGUUUAAGCAUGUAGGCUGGUUGUCCAGGCAAAUCCGGAUAAUCAAGGCUGAGGUGUGAUGACGAGGCACUACGGUGCUGAAGUAACAAAUGCCCUGCUUCCAGGAAAAGCCUCUAAGCAUCAGGUAACAUCAAAUCGUACCCCAAACCGACACAGGUGGUCAGGUAGAGAAUACCAAGGCGCUUGAGAGAACUCGGGUGAAGGAACUAGGCAAAAUGGUGCCGUAACUUCGGGAGAAGGCACGCUGGUGUGUAGGUGAAGUCCCUGCGGAUGGAGCUGAGACCAGUCGAAGAUACCAGCUGGCUGCAACUGUUUAUUAAAAACACAGCACUGUGCAAACACGAAAGUGGACGUAUACGGUGUGACGCCUGCCCGGUGCCGGAAGGUUAAUUGAUGGGGUUAUCCGUAAGGAGAAGCUCUUGAUCGAAGCCCCGGUAAACGGCGGCCGUAACUAUAACGGUCCUAAGGUAGCGAAAUUCCUUGUCGGGUAAGUUCCGACCUGCACGAAUGGCGUAAUGAUGGCCAGGCUGUCUCCACCCGAGACUCAGUGAAAUUGAACUCGCUGUGAAGAUGCAGUGUACCCGCGGCAAGACGGAAAGACCCCGUGAACCUUUACUAUAGCUUGACACUGAACAUUGAGCCUUGAUGUGUAGGAUAGGUGGGAGGCUUUGAAGCGUGGACGCCAGUCUGCGUGGAGCCAACCUUGAAAUACCACCCUUUAAUGUUUGAUGUUCUAACGUUGGCCCCUUACCGGGGUUGCGGACAGUGUCUGGUGGGUAGUUUGACUGGGGCGGUCUCCUCCCAAAGCGUAACGGAGGAGCACGAAGGUUAGCUAAUCCUGGUCGGACAUCAGGAGGUUAGUGCAAUGGCAUAAGCUAGCUUGACUGCGAGCGUGACGGCGCGAGCAGGUGCGAAAGCAGGUCAUAGUGAUCCGGUGGUUCUGAAUGGAAGGGCCAUCGCUCAACGGAUAAAAGGUACUCCGGGGAUAACAGGCUGAUACCGCCCAAGAGUUCAUAUCGACGGCGGUGUUUGGCACCUCGAUGUCGGCUCAUCACAUCCUGGGGCUGAAGUAGGUCCCAAGGGUAUGGCUGUUCGCCAUUUAAAGUGGUACGCGAGCUGGGUUUAGAACGUCGUGAGACAGUUCGGUCCCUAUCUGCCGUGGGCGCUGGAGAAUUGAGGGGGGCUGCUCCUAGUACGAGAGGACCGGAGUGGACGCAUCACUGGUGUUCGGGUUGUCAUGCCAAUGGCACUGCCCGGUAGCUAAAUGCGGAAGAGAUAAGUGCUGAAAGCAUCUAAGCACGAAACUUGCCCCGAGAUGAGUUCUCCCUGAGACUUUAAGUCUCCUGAAGGAACGUUGAAGACGACGACGUUGAUAGGCCGGGUGUGUAAGCGCAGCGAUGCGUUGAGCUAACCGGUACUAAUGAACCGUGAGGCUUAACCUU